UACGUAUGUCGCAAGCGUUAUCCGGAAUUAUUGGGCAUAAAGGGCAUCUAGGCGGCCAGACAAGUCUGGGGUGAAAACUUGCGGCUCAACCGCAAGCCUGCCCUGGAAACUGUUUGGCUAGAGUGCUGGAGAGGUGGACGGAACUGCACGAGUAGAGGUGAAAUUCGUAGAUAUGUGCAGGAAUGCCGAUGAUGAAGAUAGUUCACUGGACGGUAACUGACGCUGAAGUGCGAAAGCCGGGGGAGCGAACAGG
This 253-nucleotide ribosomal RNA is filed under the name uncultured bacterium. RNAcentral's name for it is "partial 16S ribosomal RNA". It matches the Rfam family "Bacterial small subunit ribosomal RNA", at positions 524 to 776 of the family's 1533-position model. The record is from RNAcentral.